This 495-nucleotide ribosomal RNA is filed under the name uncultured bacterium. RNAcentral describes it as "bacterial SSU rRNA". It matches the Rfam family "Bacterial small subunit ribosomal RNA", at positions 15 to 507 of the family's 1533-position model. The record is from RNAcentral.
GAUCAUGGCUCAGGACGACGCUGGCGGCGUGCCUAACACAUGCAAGUCGAACGGGAACUUCUUUAAAGGGAUUCUUCGGAAUGAAUUUGAUUAAGUUUAGUGGCGGACGGGUGAGUAACGCGUGAGUAACCUGCCUCUAAGAGGGGAAUAACAUUCUGAAAAGAAUGCUAAUACCGCAUAAUAUAUAUUUAUCGCAUGGUAGAUAUAUCAAAGAUUUAUCGCUUAGAGAUGGACUCGCGUCCGAUUAGUUAGUUGGUGAGGUAACGGCUCACCAAGACCGCGAUCGGUAGCCGGACUGAGAGGUUGAACGGCCACAUUGGGACUGAGACACGGCCCAGACUCCUACGGGAGGCAGCAGUGGGGGAUAUUGCGCAAUGGGGAAACCCUGACGCAGCAACGCCGCGUGAAGGAUGAAGGUCUUCGGAUUGUAAACUUCUUUUAUUAAGGACGAAGAAAGUGACGGUACUUAAUGAAUAAGCUCCGGCUAACUACGUG